UUUGUUGUUUGUUGAAGAGACUUUGCAGAGAACUUAUUUUUCUGCAUACGGUGAUUCUUUUUCUUCUUCUCACCCACCACAAAACUAUUUCAUCUCUUUGUAGUGAGCCAUAUGGAAAAUUAUAAUGAAAUCUAUUUAACACCUGAUAUUUCAUUUAGUUCUGGUGCAUCUCUACCACCUUCUCUUGUUUAUCUAGAAAAAAAGGUUGCUGCUGAGUUCAUUAGAACCUUUAUUAUCAUGUUUGCUGCCACUGCUGCAGCCAUUGUCAACCGCGAGAGUUCUGAGACCCU
Molecule: long non-coding RNA, 290 nt
Filed under: Vigna radiata
Lineage: Eukaryota; Viridiplantae; Streptophyta; Magnoliopsida; Fabales; Fabaceae
Description: long non-coding RNA (VRAD_LNC003950)
Source: RNAcentral